RNAcentral lists this ribosomal RNA (466 nucleotides) under uncultured Synergistaceae bacterium. RNAcentral describes it as "bacterial SSU rRNA". It matches the Rfam family "Bacterial small subunit ribosomal RNA", at positions 930 to 1382 of the family's 1533-position model. The record is from RNAcentral. Lineage: Bacteria; Thermotogati; Synergistota; Synergistia; Synergistales; Synergistaceae.
CGGUGGAGCACGUGGUUUAAUUCGAUGCAAACCGAAGAACCUUACCUGGGUUUGACAUGUACGUGGUACGGAUCUGAAAGGUAGAAGGACCCGGUCUUCGGGACUGGGAGCGUACACAGGUGCUGCAUGGGCUGUCGUCAGCUCGUGUCGUGAGAUGUUGGGUUAAGUCCCGCAACGAGUGCAACCCCUGCUGCCAGUUGCCAACGGGUGAAGCCGGGCACUCUGGCGGGACUGCCAUCGACAAGAUGGAGGAAGGUGGGGAUGACGUCAAGUCAUCAUGGCCCUUAUGUCCAGGGCGACACACGUGCUACAAUGGCCGGCACAGCGGGAAGCGAGGCAGUGAUGCCAAGCGGAUCCCUUAAAGCCGGUCUCAGUUCGGAUUGAAGUCUGCAACUCGACUUCAUGAAGCUGGAAUCGCUAGUAAUCGCAGAUCAGCCAAGCUGCGGUGAAUACGUUCCCGGGCCUU